UCCUGAGUGUUUGGAAGGAAUCAUCUAACAGUUGAAGCCCUAAUGAAUAAUCUAUCUGGGCCUUUUCGGAGCACCCUUAGGGUAUCAUUUGAGUGAGAUGAUUCUUAAAAUCUUACUAAUUAUUUGUACUUUUCUCCUUAGGAGAAAACCAUGUGUCUGUACUUCUGGGGACAAUCCAUCUUAAUGAGAUGACCUCUUCCCUCCAAAUUCCAGCAGGAGAUGUGCAUUGUCAUGGUUCUACCUCCUUCAUAGUGUGGUGACUUGAGUUCACCACUCUCUCGUAUCCUGUGUAAAUAGCUACUGUGUUCUCUAAAGCAUAGUGUAGAGAAGCCGGCUUCUAGCUAUUAGGCUUCCAAGCCAAGGGUUUUAUCCUUCAUCCUU
Molecule: long non-coding RNA, 381 nt
Filed under: Bos taurus (domestic cattle)
Lineage: Eukaryota; Metazoa; Chordata; Mammalia; Artiodactyla; Bovidae
Description: long non-coding RNA NONBTAT017119
Source: RNAcentral